This 503-nucleotide ribosomal RNA is filed under the name uncultured bacterium. RNAcentral's name for it is "partial 16S ribosomal RNA". It matches the Rfam family "Bacterial small subunit ribosomal RNA", at positions 30 to 523 of the family's 1533-position model. The record is from RNAcentral.
AUUGAACGCUGGCGGCAGGCUUAACACAUGCAAGUCGAGCGGAGUGAUGGUGCUUGCACUAUCACUUAGCGGCGGACGGGUGAGUAAUGCUUAGGAAUCUGCCUAUUAGUGGGGGACAACAUCUCGAAAGGGAUGCUAAUACCGCAUACGUCCUACGAGAGAAAGCAGGGGAUCACUUGUGACCUUGCGCUAAUAGAUGAGCCUAAGUCGGAUUAGCUAGUUGGUGGGGUAAAGGCCUACCAAGGCGACGAUCUGUAGCGGGUCUGAGAGGAUGAUCCGCCACACUGGGACUGAGACACGGCCCAGACUCCUACGGGAGGCAGCAGUGGGGAAUAUUGGACAAUGGGGGGAACCCUGAUCCAGCCAUGCCGCGUGUGUGAAGAAGGCCUUAUGGUUGUAAAGCACUUUAAGCGAGGAGGAGGCUUACCUAGUUAAUACCUGGGAUAAGUGGACGUUACUCGCAGAACAAGCACCGGCUAACUCUGUGCCAGCAGCCGCCGUAA